UGAGCAUCAGCAAAGCAUGAGUGAGGGAUAGAGUAGAUGACCGAGAUCACAUUGACGAAUCGGAUGUCAGCAUCUGGAACGCCUAAUGAACUGAAUACAUACUCCAUGGCAGUGAACCAUGAAGCGGGUUGUUCUGGUCGUAAAGGUGGCAAUUUACGCUGGGAACAGAGUCUGUGAGGUCAGUGAUCUACACAUUGACUGCACUGUCAGCACAUGAUGUUCUGUGGAGCUUCCAGAGCUGCAUUUACAGCAAAAGAUGGCCACAAUGUUAACAUGAC
Schistocerca serialis cubense is the source of this 278-nucleotide long non-coding RNA. RefSeq lists it as uncharacterized. The transcript has 3 exons. Lineage: Eukaryota; Metazoa; Arthropoda; Insecta; Orthoptera; Acrididae. The record is from RefSeq and is a predicted model, not a curated record.